Juglans microcarpa x Juglans regia is the source of this 243-nucleotide long non-coding RNA. RefSeq lists it as uncharacterized. The record is from RefSeq and is a predicted model, not a curated record. The transcript is spliced from 3 exons. Lineage: Eukaryota; Viridiplantae; Streptophyta; Magnoliopsida; Fagales; Juglandaceae.
AAGAAAUAAGUGUUUUUUACACAAGAACUACAAUCCUUUUAUGUCAUUCGUAGGAUGGGUUUAUGUCUUUCCACUUUACAUUCAGUUUUGAAACAAUUAUGUUCAUUUCAGUUUUUGAUGCUUUUCAAUAAACGAGGUAAUUCAGGAUAUGAAUCUCUUUACCGGGCUUUAUGUUAUAAAUGUUAAUAACAUCUCUAUCCUAUGGGAACGGGGUAUUACAUGUGGUAUUGUGGUGGAAUCGAG